UUGCAUUUUUCUACUCCAACCCCCCACAUGCUGUUUGUAGCAUUUGGGACAAGUAAGAAUGCAAGAUAAAUCUAUCUAGAACUCCAAAGUUGAGGGUCUGCUUGUGACCCUCGACUAUUUCACCUCUAGAACAAAU
This is a small nucleolar RNA of Engraulis encrasicolus (European anchovy), 136 nucleotides long. RefSeq annotates it as small nucleolar RNA SNORA14. The record is from RefSeq and is a predicted model, not a curated record. Lineage: Eukaryota; Metazoa; Chordata; Actinopteri; Clupeiformes; Engraulidae. The transcript has a single exon.